AGCGAACGCUGGCGGCAGGCUUAACACAUGCAAGUCGAGCGGGCAUCUUCGGAUGUCAGCGGCAGACGGGUGAGUAACACGUGGGAACGUACCCUUCGGUUCGGAACAACUCUGGGAAACUGGAGCUAAUACCGGAUACGCCCUUAUGGGGAAAGGUUUACUGCCGAAGGAUCGGCCCGCGUCUGAUUAGCUAGUUGGUGGGGUAACGGCCUACCAAGGCGACGAUCAGUAGCUGGUCUGAGAGGAUGAUCGGCCACACUGGGACUGAGACACGGCCCAGACUCCUACGGGAGGCAGCAGUGGGGAAUAUUGGACAAUGGGCGCAAGCCUGAUCCAGCCAUGCCGCGUGAGUGAUGAAGGCCUUAGGGUUGUAAAGCUCUUUUGUCCGGGACGAUAAUGACGGUACCGGAAGAAUAAGCCCCGGCUAACUUCGUG
This 435-nucleotide ribosomal RNA is filed under the name uncultured bacterium. RNAcentral describes it as "partial 16S ribosomal RNA". It matches the Rfam family "Bacterial small subunit ribosomal RNA", at positions 29 to 507 of the family's 1533-position model. The record is from RNAcentral.